CGCGUCGAAUAGAUAAUUUGAUUAAAACCUUCGUUACCACCCACGUUGAGCAUUGCAUCAGCUAACUAGACUUUCCAUCGACGACAUCACGAAACAGCCGGUUUCGAGCCUAGACCACCUUGUGUGUCUCGAGGUUAAGAAGGGAAGUACGCUACCCCUGUAGCAUCACUGGGGGGCACUCGGGUGGUAUUCUGGUAACAAACUCUGAUUGUUUACUAAUGAAUUAGCUUUAUUUCAGGGACCGUUGGGAUACUGUGAUUACGGAAGAAGCCACAUCUGGCUUGGCUACAGUAGACAGGGUAAAUGCGAUGGAGGCGUUCCAAUGGCCACCUAAUUCACCAGGUAACCUCUGUACCGCCUGCAUGUGACGAAGGAGUUAAUGUGAAAUCGAAUGCAGCGGAUCCACCACAAGAAAGGUACCACGAACUUGUGCAUUAGUUAUUGAGGUAAACGUAACCUGUUGUGAUCGUCCGGCGCACACGAAAUCCUGGAAUCCAUGGCCCUGUGGCCUCGUUCGUACUCUUGUAAAACGUUCCGCUUGACGAGGGCCUUAAACUCCAAGGCCGUAGCCUUGGAGUUUAAGGAGAGAGGAGCCAGUAGCCAUGCAAAACGUGUACAAAGGCUAAUCUGCGCUACGGUUGGGCACAAAACGUGGUGAUGAAAAGCAAGAAUGCAUUGAAGCUGACAAUAGAAGAUGCAUUGAAGCUGACAAUAGAAGAUGCAUUGAAGCUGACAAUAGAAGAUGCGUUGAAGCUGACAAUAGAAGAUGCACUGAAGGACGAAUUAAUCGUCAGGCUGAACUGGCGCAUUAGCGAAACGCUUACGUUUAGGGAAAAGCCACUGCUAUGAUUAGUAUACGGUCGUGCGGUAGAUAUGAAGCCGCUGAAUGCCUUCCACCCGAAAACUCAUAUUAAGCUAUCGCUGUUCAACAUCUCUAGCUUUGUGUUAAAGGUGAAUCCAAGAUCAACAGAAUGCUAACAAAUUCUUACUGGGCCGGAAGGAAAGACAGAAAAAAAAUUUAUUCUAAGAAUGCGCGGCAUGCUCAAGGAAUUAAGCAGAAGGAGCUAAAGCGUCGUAAAGAAUGGUUUGGUCAAAGGACGGGCUCGGAGGACAAACGUCGCAGCGACUGACCACCUUGCCAGAAUGCCCACAUAUCCGACACCUAUUCAACGGUGUGUCAAAAUAGGAACGAGGAUUUGACCUUGUGAUUUAGUGAAGCGGACGAUAAACGAUAACAGAUUCCACUCAGGACCGAAAGACGGCGAGCUUUGGUUCUCAUUGCUCUAACUAAAACGGUAUACGGCAUCCGUUUUUGCUGCCGUAUUCAUAACGGAUCAUGGCAAAAUUUUUUAGUCGAGUUAAUGUCCCAGUACUUGCCGUUGUUGGAGCUUGUUAACCGCGGCAAGCACCUUUCGCUCUGUUGGGAUCUCCAGAGCCUAAUAACGAUUCUAGAGCCUUCCGCAACCGGUUCUAUUAUCCAAAAUCUAGCGCAUUAACUUGUUCCAGAACUAGGGGCCCACUGCUGUAGAAAACUGUAACGGGAAUCCGUAACUCUUUCUUGUUCUUCUCGAAGCCGCAUAAACCAUCGACGAAGGCAGAUUUCAAAGGCUAUAACAAAGCUAAAAUAUAGCUCUAGACCAUUAACAAACAAAAAAGAGGACAUAAGCAAAGACAGUUAAAUUCUCCCAAAGAUUCUUCUUAUUCCAGGAACUACCCAACCUGAAAGCCCCCUUACAAUAACCGAGUUUUCAAAGAAGCUGUUGGUGUCGAGUUCGAAUUACAUAAAGUUAUCUGCAAUCGAGACAAAGUCUUGUUUUUUUGUUAAUACGGAGUGGACAGCGAAAUUGGCAGCUAUGAAAGGUAUGCUCAAGCUCAGAAAGAGAUGUUUGACGAUAUGCAUAAGUAAAACUUUUAUUUGUGUUCGGUGAAAUUGGAAUUACCUUAAACAUUAAAACACCGACUAUCAACAAUGAUAUAUUGGAUCGAACAGACGGGGCUAUGUGAGAGCAAAGAUUCGAUAGAAACAGCCAAGUCAGAUUAUCCGUGACGAAGAUCGGUGAAGACAAAUUAACCCUUCUUGCACCUGCUGUAUGCCAAUUAGAUCAAACAAAUUAGACGCCGGUAGUUUGCAAUCGGUUUAGCAACAAUUAGCAACAGUACAGUUUGACAGUAUAUAAGGCCUCAGAAAUGGCCGAACGAGUCUCUCAGCACCAUAGCUGAGGGUCUCAGACGAGACGGAAUAAAUAAAUAACAAAGAAAAACAAUUGAGAAAUGGAAAACGACGGCAAAUAUAUAACAAAUUAUCUUCGUAAAAAUGCCUUUAUCAUAAAGUGAAAAAGCGUACCCCAUUUUCUAACCAACCUAAUAAAACAGUGUAUUGUAGUUAACGUGUCUGCUGGUAACGACUAUAAUGGCAAUGAGCUCAAAGAUUUUUGUGUGACCUGCCUCCAUUGUUUAGGUUCACCAUAGAGUAAGCUUAUGACAGGAAGCUUAUGGAAUAUUAAACAAAUUCAUAUGUAGCGACUAGCGUUUCCAGAAGCGGUGUCUAAAGAAACAACAGGUUUCACGAUGACUUUACCGAGAUGUAGAGUUUAUUUUCUAAUAAAGGUUUGAUGCACAAAGAAACUCAUAUAGUCAAAAAGAGUUUCGGUAAUUUAAUCAAGUUCCUCCGCUUUCUGCCUCUGAAUGUAUCAUUAUAGUUAGAUAGAACUUAAACGAUCCUUCGUCUGUCAUAUCAUUGCCCUGGCUUUUACUUAGCUAUCCGUAUGUAAAUUAUGGUGUAGACACAGUUUAAGCUUAGGCAGACUUUUAUACUUCCCAGCGUCUAACCAUUUAGGGUUCGUACUGAUGACGAGUGGACACAUAUUUAUGAGUUUAUUCUUUUUUUUUUCUUUAUAUACAUUCUAUCACUUAGGUAGAUUUUCCAGAGUAUCGAAUUCAACUCAGAGUUCAUAAGGAGGAAAGAUAACAGCAAAUAUAUUUGUUGUUAUUAAAUCGUUUCUUCUGUAUCAGUGUUUGUAAGAAGCAAAAACGUUUCCCACAACAAAAAACUGUGCAUUUAGCGUUCUGCAGCUGACAUCGUGCAAGGACCAUAUUAUCGUAAUCGGAUCAUUGCAGGUCGUAACGGAAUAAAUCUUACCGUUACCUACAGAAAUCGAUCAUAGAUUCGUUGUACUAUUUUCCCCAACCAUUUUCGAGUGGUGGAAGGUAGCAUACGGUUUCUCAAUGAACGUGUUUGCGAUAGCAUAGGCCGACUUCAGUUUCUAGUCUUUCUUAUAGUUUUUAAUGAUACUUCAAGAUUUAGCUAUUAUUGUUCUGCCGGGUGUUGGAGAAAUCAAGAAAUCAUCCACUUCAUCCCUUGUAAACUUUCAAUGACUAGUCGCGAGCUAGCAAGUCAUAUGUCCUUUAGAAAUAUACCAAUAAAAAUAGUACAAACGGUAUUAAGAGGCCCAGCAUACCAUGCCUUGCCGAAAAAUAUCAGAAAAGCCAAAUAUUCUAGAGGGAUAAUAGGACUGAAAGAAAAAUUUGACCAGAAAGCGUGUAAUAUACGUAGAACAAGUGGCGUCAAGUGGCCACUUGUAUCGAAGUUGUGUAGAGGAUCCAAAACCCAACAACGGCAUAAAAUAGAAUUCGGUAUUCUGUACAAAGUAUUGGAGACCUUGGCAUGAUAUGCGGUGCAAGUGAGUCAAUACGAGUUAGUCGCAAUGGAUCCGAGUGCGUUUUAACUUUGUCGUAUUCUAUACAAUUGGUUAUUUCUGUUUCCCGUUUCAGCUUUCGGAUGAUCGUUUAUUAUAUUUACUUUGCUAUUUUCCACGUAUGAGGCUUGUUACAAAUGGGCUUCCUGUGCAAAGGUCGACUUAAAAUUGAUCUACGGAAAAGACAUAUAGGGAACCUCAAGCGGCUAUCAAACAUGGCGUAUUCGCGUGUCUAUCGAGCAUGAGUACAGUCUUACUUGAUGGUUCUGUACACCACUCGUCUAAAAUCUUUCCACGAAGGAAUACAUGCUAAACGGAGCGCUGUCUAAGCACGGAUUGGCAUGAUCGAUAUAGAAUCUCUAAGAAACUAGUUGUUAGGUGGCGUUGAUACAUUGAAUUGCACUGGAUUUUAAUAAAGUAACGCUACCAGCAGAAAAUAUUAAAGGUUGUG
Molecule: long non-coding RNA, 4146 nt
Filed under: Varroa destructor (honeybee mite)
Lineage: Eukaryota; Metazoa; Arthropoda; Arachnida; Mesostigmata; Varroidae
Description: uncharacterized LOC111253416, transcript variant X2
Source: RNAcentral